Non-coding RNA from Triticum urartu, 1615 nucleotides. The record is from RefSeq and is a predicted model, not a curated record. NCBI's taxonomy places the organism in Eukaryota, Viridiplantae, Streptophyta, Magnoliopsida, Poales, Poaceae.
UUUAAAAUUAAUGCGUUCCCCAACAGAUUGAUGCACAUACCCCACUACUAUAAUCCUACACCCCUGGUGAUGUGACGGGUGUAGGGUGGUGCUGCAAGCUGAACCGGCGGCAGCGUGACCGGUACUACGGCAGCGAGGUCGGUGCAGCGAUGGCCAGCCAGCAUCUGCUGCAGCUAGUGGAGUGAUGCCAUGCUGCGAGGUGCCUCAUCCUCCUUAUCGCCAUCAACUUAAUGGCUACCUCACCGCACCUCCACCCUCCUGUCGUGGCUUUGGUGUUAGAGAUGUGGAUUGCUCGGAAGGGUCAAUGUUGCAACCCAACACCCGUGGUUCUGUGAAUAGAGACAAGUAGAAAUGCGAGCUGACCAGUGACGGGGAACACGUGUGCCCGACAAUGUUUUGAGCGACAUGAGAUCUGUUGCGAGCGAUGAUCAUGGUGCAACAUGCGUCGGGGUCUCAGCUCAGGGAGCCGUAUUGGGACCAGCGGUGCUACGGGGCAUCAGUGAGUCGUGCAGGAUCAGGGUCAAUAGGUGCUAUGGGCGUCCGCAAGUCAUGCUGCGACCAACGCCGAUCGGUUUUACAACACGUCGACAUGAAUGUCAAGCAGUGCUACCAGCGUUGAGCCGUGCUACAACCGGUGUCAAGUGGCUCUACCAACCAUGGAUCGUGGUGCUACAACAUGUGACGAGUGGCGCUACCAGCCAUGUGGUGUGAUGUUAUGGGAUACUAGAUAGAAUCGGGUGGGUAAGAUCCGCUGUAGUAUUUCCUCAUCUGGGCCCAAAAUUGUGUGAUACCCGCUUUUGGUGGAAGACUACAUGCGUGAUUGAUAAAUAGUGAACUAUCCAAGAUGCUCCUGAGAACUCAAUAUACUGAAAGACUAGUGUAGUAUUGCCUCGUCUAGCCACUUCUCCCACAAAACUGAACGGCCCAAGUUAACAUGACGUAUACUCAUCUUGAACCCAAUUAUUUUGUACUAUCAGCCCUUCAAGUGCGAAUGCUACGAUGUUGUGAAUUCAAGUUUGAGCCUAGACACAAACACCUGAACAAUGAAGCCAACUGAGGGUGAUUUCUGAACGAGCUAUAGUCAAUAGACCUCCACGAGACCACGAUAGAUGAGCAGAUUUUUUUUUUCAUUUUUUGCCAGCUCAAUUAGUAGUGUUUACAUUGGCAUGAGAGGUAUCAGGAGGAGUAAAGGUGUGACCGAGCAGCAAGCUGGGAAAGCCAAACAACGUUUCAUUUCCUGCAGUGAAUAGCGGUGGUGAUUCAUUACGGUAGAUCGUUGCUAAUCCUGCAAUAGAUGCCUACCGCAUCGCAGUCAACAUGUACACUCGGGCGCAUUUCGCUUCACCAUGUCUUGGAUGCUUCACCUGCGUUCUUAUUGUACAGGUAACCCAGGCAAUGGUUCUGUGCACAUAGACUCUAGAUUCCGGGUGUCACCGGUAGGUAUCAUUAGGUCACUUCCAAUGCAUUCGUGUUUAGAUAAGAUGCUAAACAUAUUAAAAAGUUUAACAACUAAUGUCAACAAUGCAAGGUGUUUCACUUGUUGGUGAUAAGCUUCUCUCAUUUAAUGCUUUAGUAGCUAAACUAUUUUAUGCAUUGAAGGAUUUCUUUCAUUUAA